UAGAAGCCUGAGUCUCCAAUGGCCUGGGCCCACUCUUAGUGAUCAUAUUAUAGAAGUCAGGUAGUUAUGUAACUGGUCACAUAUUUCUGUUAUAAUUUUAUAAUUAUUUAUCCUUUGAGACCUACAGGCCAGCUGUAGGCCACCACAGACUGACUGCAGCGCACCAUUUCUCAUCUGCCUGCAUCACUUGAAGAAGGGGGAAGGGGUCUAGCAUGAAACUAGAGUGAAGGAGUGAUACUAUAUCGGAGAAGCGGGCAAUACCACAUGUUCUGCCCAGCCUGAAAAUGAGGUUUCUUUGUAUGCACUGGAUAAUGCUAAUGUUGAAGAAACUUUCUCGUCUGACCAUCCAGGAACCACUCUCACCACCUAAGACUGUUACCGCUGGGAUCGAAGCCCCAUCACAACACAUGACUCCACUGAGACAGCGGGUGCCCUGCUUGACUCUCUACACAUUCCACUCACACGGAUAGACAGGUUUCCCUCACCAGCUCAAGCCCAGGUUCCAUGUAGCAGUCACAGAUGUCUGGUUCCCAUAAGUUAACAUUGAGCCUUUUAUCAUGGUGCAGCAGCACAACAACAGCUUGUACUGAUGCCGCCCAGGAAGGACCCCAAACAAAGAAAUCCUUGGGCGUUUGUUUCCUUACAGUCUGUGCACCUAUUCCAGUGGUGAUUUUGGGUCUGGAGUCUUCUUGUCUUUCAUUUGUUGCCACAGAGUCCCUGAGUGACAGAUCAGCCUUCCCUCAAAUUCCCCAUACCCUCAGCUGUGCAAAGGGUUGGUGCCAGGUCAUGGCUUGUUGCUGGGAGCAGUCAUUUACCAUGUGCUCAUCCAAGGCACAACCUGCAACUUGCACUGCAGCUGCUCACUGAGCUGCCUGCACUGGGUGUAGUCCUCAGCCCUAUGCAGCUACAAUGGGUCACAAUCUUAGACAUAACGACUGCUAGAACAACAGAAAGAUGCUUUCCCCCCUCUCAGUUCAUCAGCUUAAAAUCUAAUACCUUCCCCACUAAGAUGUCUAAAAUUUCUAAAAUUAUUUUACCCAAAUACUCUGCAAUUCUACUCUAUUUUGUUCUUAAUUCUUUUAAUGGCAUCACAGUCUUUGACUCCAUCUAGGAAGCAGUACAGCACAAUAAACACAGUUUUGUACAGCACCUCGUGCUGAAGACUUCAUGUCCACAACACAUGCAGUUGGGGCUUUAUUCUGGAAUAGCUUUAGUCUGACCACCUAGACUGAGCACCUGUUAGUGAUUAAAGUGUAUGAGGUGUACUUUUGGAGCACAUUUUCUGAUAUAGAUUGAGGGGACAGGGGGAUGGAGCAGGAGGGAGGGAGGAAAGAGAAAAAAAAAUAGUUCCUGCACUCCAAGACCGUUUCAGGAUAUGAACCAAAAUAUUUUAUGUGGUAGCAAUUGGGAGAUAAAGUGCAUUCUUGAUGCAGCCUUAAACACUACUAUGUGUGUUAGUUAUUCCAAGAAAGAGAAAAGAAUUUCAAGAAAAAAAUAUCUGCAGUAAAAUAAGAAUGUUGUUCUAUUUCCUCAUAUGCAAUUCCACCAAAGUUAACUUUAUUAAAUAUGUCAGAUAAGGCAUGGUAAAAAAUCCUUUCCCUUUUAUUCUGUAUGCCACAUAAUAUUUGAUGCUUAGAGUCACAAAGCCCAGUGUAGUUCAUAGAUUGGAUCCCUUAUCCCAAACUUCCUAUUGAAAUAGGUAUGUAACAUGAUGUCCAAAAAGAACUAUUUUUCUACAAUAGGAAAUUGAAGAAAUUACUACAAUAUAAUGUCAAUUAUUUAAAUAAUUGUUAUAUAUCUUAACAGAUAUAUAAGUUUCUGGAUGGCUUAUUCCUCCUAUAACCUAGUACUACUGAUUUCACCAAAUAUUUUCCAACCACAGUCUUUCAAAUAAAGAACAAAUAAAUACCUAUAUUAUGCAGCAAGAUGAAAAUAAUGGACGUUCUGUACUCAAAGUAAAGGGGAAACUUAGGACCGUGAAUAUUUCUUCUUUCUUAAAAGGUUACCACUUCAUUGGUCACAGAAAAUUAAUAUAGUCAUUGUACACAAACAUAUACUAUAGUAUCCAUCAUUUGCAUGUCAACAGAUGUGUUACACAAAAGCCUGCUAAGGUAAUUAUUCUAUUUUCAAAAAUAUCUCACCUUGGAGUCACUGGCAGGCCUGGAAACCAUAGCUUUAAACAAAUGUGAACUACAUUUAUGAAGUUGAAAAAACAAAUGGAUUUAUUUUUGGCUUUUGCAGCAUCGCCACCAAGUAAAAUUUAGCAUCUGUAAAUGGUCUCUGUGUCCAAGUGAAUGGAUUCAAGUCUUAGCUUGAGGGGAGCUUUAUAGCUGGCCCCCCUCCAGAGUCUGAGGCUUCAGGCUACAUUCCUAGGAUUUGCUGUGCAGGGACUCUUUUCUACUGUGACUAGGUAGCUCUCUGUUAGAACUCACGGCAGAAAAUCAAUGUCCUUUUCAUAUUACUUGCUGUGUUUUUUUAACCUCUCAGAGCUCAAAACCCAGAGAGGCCGUAUUUCAUUCCAGUUAUAUAUCAUACUAGCAAUUUCCUCUUGAUUAACAAAAAUGCUACCAAUGUUUACUAGUCAUCCUACCCUAAUGCUCAUGUGCAUUCAUCACUUCUGGACUGGCAGAGAUAGCAGUGUGAUCUGUCCAGGGAGUAGAACAGAUGUGUUCCUGGGUCAGCUAACUUGGCAACUGUGAGACAUAAAUACAAGAUAAAAAUAUCAUCAUGUUGGGGAAACACUUAAGAAAAAUGUUCUAACACCUUCUUUAGCAACUCGUAGUAGAAAAGAAAAGAUGAGGGCAGGGGAACUGUGAUCCUUUAUUCUUUUUCCUCCUCUGGCCUUUGACUAGAAAAAGAGAUGACAACUACAAAUUCAGAAAGACACUGGUGGUGGUACCACACCUACAUUUUAUCCUCCAAAAUUACACAUACAAAUGUGUGACUCGAGCCGCUGAACAACAAGCUAUUACUGUUGGCAAUGCUGCUUGAUAUUUGGUUAGGAAAGGGCAGACUUGGAAAGUGUUAGGACCUGACCCUAAUGAGUUCUUUACAAACCUUCUAUGCCUCAGUCUUACAGCAGAGUGAGGUAAACAUGAUCCUUGCAAUCCCAGCUCCCAGCAGUUUUUGCUUCAGCAAUCCCAGUUCUCAGCAGUUCAACCAAGGUGUAAGCCAUGAACACUCAUCUCUAUAAGCACUCAUGCACUAUUACCUAGAAUAUAAAAUCACUGAAGAAUUGAGGGUUUAUCUUGUUGUCAUGGUUUAAUCCCAUCUAGAAACUGUGUACCAUCAUGCAGCUGCCCACACAUUCCCUCAUGCAAACCCAGUGGGAAGCAGAAUCCAAGAGGAAAAAAAAGUAAACUUCAUGGCUUGAAAUAAGAACAAGAUCAAUGAGAAGGAGGAGGAGAAGGAAAAGGAGAAGAGAAGACAGGUGCCUAAAUUACUUGUGGAAUUAGAAGUAUGAAGCCACAAAGCAACUUUUAAACCUUUAAAACUAAAUAAAAGCAUUAAAGAAUGCCAAAGUCAAAAAAUAACAAAAAAAACAACCAAACAAA
Passer domesticus (house sparrow) is the source of this 3554-nucleotide long non-coding RNA. RefSeq lists it as uncharacterized. The record is from RefSeq and is a predicted model, not a curated record. NCBI's taxonomy places the organism in Eukaryota, Metazoa, Chordata, Aves, Passeriformes, Passeridae. The transcript is spliced from 2 exons.